Molecule: small RNA, 27 nt
Filed under: Arabidopsis thaliana (thale cress)
Lineage: Eukaryota; Viridiplantae; Streptophyta; Magnoliopsida; Brassicales; Brassicaceae
Description: ATSL177390
Source: RNAcentral
UUUUUUCUUCUUCUUCUUCUUGUUCUG